AUAUUACUUCCUCCGUCCCAAAAUUCUUGUCUUACAAUUAUGUAGAUACAAAUGUAUCUUACACUAAAAAUGACUAGAUACAUCCGUAUCUAGACAAAUUUAAGAAAAGAAUUUUGAGACGAAGGGAGUACUUA
Triticum urartu is the source of this 134-nucleotide non-coding RNA. NCBI's taxonomy places the organism in Eukaryota, Viridiplantae, Streptophyta, Magnoliopsida, Poales, Poaceae. The record is from Rfam.